GGACGUGUAACUCAGUGGUAGAGUGUGCGAUUGCAGAUCGCAGUGUCGCCGGUUCGAUCCCGGUCACGUCCU
This 72-nucleotide transfer RNA is filed under the name Talaromyces marneffei ATCC 18224. RNAcentral's name for it is "tRNA-Cys (GCA) (tRNA-Cys-GCA-2-1)". It matches the Rfam family "tRNA". From Rfam's summary of the family: Transfer RNA (tRNA) molecules are approximately 80 nucleotides in length. The record is from RNAcentral. Lineage: Eukaryota; Fungi; Ascomycota; Eurotiomycetes; Eurotiales; Trichocomaceae.